RNAcentral lists this transfer RNA (71 nucleotides) under Nanobdellati archaeon. RNAcentral describes it as "tRNA-Gly". It matches the Rfam family "tRNA". Rfam says of the family: Transfer RNA (tRNA) molecules are approximately 80 nucleotides in length. Their secondary structure includes four short double-helical elements and three loops (D, anti-codon, and T loops). Further hydrogen bonds mediate the characteristic L-shaped molecular structure. tRNAs have two regions of fundamental functional importance: the anti-codon, which is responsible for specific mRNA codon recognition, and the 3' end, to which the tRNAs corresponding amino acid is attached (by aminoacyl-tRNA synthetases). tRNAs cope with the degeneracy of the genetic code in two manners: having more than one tRNA (with a specific anti-codon) for a particular amino acid; and 'wobble' base-pairing, i.e. permitting non-standard base-pairing at the 3rd anti-codon position. The record is from RNAcentral. Lineage: Archaea; Nanobdellati.
GCGCCGAUAGUCUAGUGGCAUGAUAGUGGCCUUCCAAGCCGCGGGCCCGGGUUCAAUUCCCGGUCGGCGCA